GUGCUCCAAGCUAGGAAGUAAGAAUGUGGAGAUGGAAGACUCCUGCCCUCGAAGGGGUUGUAUUGUUGCAGAGAGACAUGCAUUGGGACACCUGCAACACACCAUGAAGGUCUUCCAACCCCUGGUAUCAUCAUAUGAGACUUGCAACUCAGAACAACAAAUACAGAAGAGUGUAAAACAGGACCAAAGAGCCAACUUGUUCACCAGCUGAAAUUAGAUGGGUUUAGCAAAGAAAGCACACAGUCUAUGGAAAAAAGAAAAAAAG
This is a long non-coding RNA of Tupaia belangeri chinensis (Chinese tree shrew), 265 nucleotides long. RefSeq lists it as uncharacterized. The record is from RefSeq and is a predicted model, not a curated record. NCBI's taxonomy places the organism in Eukaryota, Metazoa, Chordata, Mammalia, Scandentia, Tupaiidae. The transcript has 3 exons.